This 238-nucleotide long non-coding RNA is filed under the name Setaria italica (foxtail millet). RNAcentral's name for it is "long non-coding RNA (SITA_LNC005866)". The record is from RNAcentral. Lineage: Eukaryota; Viridiplantae; Streptophyta; Magnoliopsida; Poales; Poaceae.
AAACACAAGAAAAUGUUUCAGUUCCCAUUAAUGAGGUGCGACAUGAUGAAUCAGUGAUGGUCGCUGACCAACAUGAUGAACCUCAACCACGAAGAUCAACACGGGCAUGUCGCGCACCUGAUAAGUACACACUCCUGAUUACAGGGCAGCCGGACAUCCUAUUGUUGGACAAUGAGGAGCCUAAAACAUGGAUAGAAGCAUUGAUGGGAUCGGAGUUUGAGAGAUGGCUUGAUGCCAU